RNAcentral lists this long non-coding RNA (894 nucleotides) under Callithrix jacchus (white-tufted-ear marmoset). RNAcentral describes it as "lncRNA (ENSCJAG00000053863.2)". Lineage: Eukaryota; Metazoa; Chordata; Mammalia; Primates; Cebidae. The record is from RNAcentral.
GCAAGAGUGAAAGUUCCAAUCCUCUAAAGUCAUAGUUGUUACCUUGGUAACCAGCCCCCAUCCUGAGGUAAUCUAGGCGCUCCCAGCUACCAGUCAUCUCAUUAGGACACAAAAAAUACUUUUUUUUUUCUGACAUAGGAUACUGUGUCACCCAAGCUGGAGCACAAUGGCAUGAUCAUGGCUCACUGCAGCCUCUACCUCCUACACUCAAGUGAUCCUCCUGCCUCAGCCUCCUGAGUAGCUGGGACUUCAAGCAAGCAGCCACCACAUCUGGCUAACAAAAGAUACUCUUAUCUCUUGGGAAUUCUAAGGAUUUUGGAUGCUUAAGUGAGGAAAUGGGGAAUAAGACCAAAUAUGCGUUUCGUUAUAAAACACAAGGAAACAUGGGGAAGUGAUAGAAGUCUGAAAUCAAACUAGCUGGGAAACUACAUUUAUCGUUGGACUGAGUAUAUGUCUGGCCCCCGGGUAAAUUGCUCUGUGAUUCUUAACCUAAAUGGCAAUUAAACAAUCCUCUGGAUCCUGGAUCUUACUGAAUAUUCACUACUAAAGAGAUGACAAAAUUUCACUGAAGUGGGGAAUUAAAUGAAGACAAGGAUGCCAUGUUGAAUGAUCUGGCUUCUGCUUAUCAGUCCUGUUAUUGUUCCUUCCAACUACCUAAGAUAAACCAAACAGGUAAUUUAUAUUUCUCCCUAAAUACUUAAUCUCUGUCUAUAUUAUCAAUUCACUCUCACUCCUCCUACCAGUGGUUGCACUGUCCAAUAGGGCAGACACUGGGCACUUGAAAUGUGGCUAGUUUAAAUGGAGAUAUAUUAUAAACUUAAAAUAUAUGAUGAAUUUCUAUAACAUAAAAAGGGCACGUAAAAGAUUGUAACAAUUGAUAUGUGAUAUAAUUAU